Molecule: non-coding RNA, 939 nt
Organism: Malus domestica (apple)
Lineage: Eukaryota; Viridiplantae; Streptophyta; Magnoliopsida; Rosales; Rosaceae
Source: RefSeq, a predicted model, not a curated record
CUACACCUAUCUCUCUUCCUCCCGCGGUUCAUCUUCUUUCUUCUCCCUCUGUCCCUCAUCCUUCUCUUCUCUCUCUUGGCUCGCUUCUCCCCAAGCAACAUAGCCACCACGUUCUCCGGCAACUUCAAACACCAAAUCACCACCAUCCUCUUCCCAACCUCACACCAACACAGAACUAGAACCCAGAGUCCCAGAACUUAGACUCAAACCUCAAAUCAAAUAACCAUAGCUCCGUCUCGAAUCCGAGAGAGUUCCGGCGAGCUCAUUGCUUUCCCUACCAAGGUUUCCUGAGAUUUUUUGACCAAAUCUCAUCGUCUUGGACGAGAUUGACACCACAAAUGAACUCCCUAUAAUCCCAUGGAACAUAUUCGAGCUUUACAUGCUCAAAAUUGUCAGGGAUUCGUAGAGACCUAAGCUAGGCUUUUAGGCCAAUUUUCGACCACCUCUAGCCAUCCUUUGGCCUCGAUUUUGGUAAAAUCAAACUCCUCUUAAUCCCAACUUCAUUUUGACAUACUGUGUAUUACAAAUGGUUGAGAUUUAUUGCAGAUCUGCUUCUAUUUCGAAUCCAAAUAGGAAGAGGCCUAGAUUCUGUAUAGACCGGAUGAUUAAUUUAUUUGUGGAACAAGAAGAUGGGAUGAAGUAAAAGCUUUCUGGGAAAGAUUCAAGUGUUCAUAAAUGCUUGUUUUCAUUAUUCGUAUGAAUUGAUUGUUUGUAGAACUAAAUUGUAAAAACUUGUUUGUAAUAUUUGAAUUUGUAUUGUUUUUAAAUAUUUUACCGAUUGGGCACAAAAACAAAAUUGUGCUAACAUGGCUUGGAAAGAGUCAGAACUGUCAGAACUGAGAAACAAAAGAAACCCUAUUUGUGCUGAGCUUUUUGGGCAUCAAAGACCAUAUUGUGCCCAAUGAUCAAAGGUGACGCCCAUAGAGGGCACAUAUAUAA